RNAcentral lists this long non-coding RNA (1969 nucleotides) under Triticum aestivum (bread wheat). Its description in RNAcentral is "long non-coding RNA (TAES_LNC004568)". Lineage: Eukaryota; Viridiplantae; Streptophyta; Magnoliopsida; Poales; Poaceae. The record is from RNAcentral.
UAAAUAGGACCAACGAUGAUGAGAGCACGUCAAUGACAUCACAUAGGUGUGGUAUUCAUCAAUCCCUUCUUUCUUUCUGUCUGUGCGUUUCAUGUGUAUACAAAUUCAUCUUUAUAUGCCAUAUUAAUUUUUCAUUUAGAUUCAGGAUGCAGGACGUUUCCCCAUCCGCCCGCAACCAAAAUGGUAGGAUUCGCACCACCCCGUCUCCGUAAGUUUUAACUGCCUGCUACAGUUGGCGGGCACAUGCGGACUUCCAUGUCUCUGUUUAGCUGAUGUUCGUAGUGCUAAGUACAGUACGCUAGUUUGCAAGUUGGCUGCUAUACAGUAUACACAUUCAUAUGUCACUGUCUACAUUCAGAUUUCUAGUUUGUAAACUACACGCUCAUGUAGACAAUCAGCUAUGUAGACAUAAAAUAUGCUAAUGCCAACACAUUCAGAUUAUGUAUAUAUAUAAUUUUCGUAUGCUGAAUCCGCAGUUAUAAUAUCUUUGUACAGAAUAUAAUAGCUUGUACUGAGUUAAUGCAGUAUACUAUGCGCAUGCACUAUUCCUUCAAUAGUAAGAGUAAUACUGCAAAUCUUCCGGUUCCAUAAAGAAUUCAUAGUAAUGGUAAUAAAGAAGGGGCCUGAUGCUCCUUCAAGAAUUCUGAUUAAGUAAAGUACAGUACCAACUUCAACAUUUCAGCAUAAUAAGCACAUGAGGCGAGCCAUGAAAAAUCGGAAAUUUCCAUUUUGGCAUCCUCUUUCCUUGAUAGAUCUUCCUCACUACUUAUUGGUUCUGCACACAAGGAAAUUAUUUCAGACCAAAGCAUCAUUUCAAGCAAGAAUGCAUUUCCAAUUAUAGAUCAAUAAAAAAUGGUUUAACAGAUAAUGAUGAGGAGUUCGCGAGGAAAAUUAGUAAUGAAGUCUUCUGACAAGCCAAGAACAAUGUGCUAGGAACUUAUAUUAGCGAUCAUGUGCCAGUACUUAGAAUCUGAAGUAGUUGUUUGAUAUCUGCUGGCAUUAGUAGAAGUAAAUUUGAAUUAUUCUCACUAAAAUUGCCCGAGAUGACAUCUUUUCUUCGCUGAUGGUGUGGCGUGCAUACCAGUUCUAUUGAGAAACUGUUAGUAGAAGCACUUGACUAGAUUCGAAUGAUCUAAGUACAACAAGCAGCCACUUACUACUAGCAGCUAUAGUUUCUCUGAGCACACACUGCUCAUUACAACAACUAACUAAGAUUAAAGUUUCCUUUGCUUGUUUUCAGGUGCAGAACCCACGUGUUUAGAGUUCAAACAUAUUCUUACAACAUGUAGCAGUAGUCCUUCCAUGUUGCUGAUAAACCACUCAUCCAAUUUUAUAUCCGCUCAUGUGAUAGCUUUAUUAUUUCCUCCACAUUUAGCACAAUCUGUUCACCCAUUACAAUCGAUGUUAUUAAUUGAAUAUGUUGACGUGCAUUUCACUGUACCAAAUUUACAGGAUUAUAGCCAGAAUUAGUUUUUUUACCUACAUGCUUUUCUUUGCUUAUAUUGUCUGAACCUAAAUUUGUACAUGACUCCAAAGGGAUCACCUCGAAAUAAGAAGGAAAUUCUUGUUUAUAACUUGCACUUUAAAUUCGUCCAGAACUUAUUUAUUAUCCAAAGUAGUAAUACUAAUUGUUUCUAUUUUCUUCAUUGCUAGCAGUAUAGCGGCAACUAGCAGGAACUAUCUUCAGGAUAUGGAGCUAUGGAUGCCAUGAGACACUGAUCAUUUGCGUUUAGUUGAUGAAGAUUGAACAUGUCAGUCUAGAUGCUCCUGUGCUGAGCUUAGGUUUUGUUUUAUGCAAUGAAGCUUUGAUCCAUUUCUAGGUACAGUGCACAUGUUCUUGCUAUACACAUGUGUACAAGCUGAAUGUAAUACUUAGAACAAAGCAUAUCUAUAUACAAUAUCAUGUACUUUGGAUGGUGUUCUUUGUAAAGCAACAUUGUUGAUUUAAUAUAUGAGGUCUUUCUUACUA